UGCAGAGGUCUCAAGCGUUGUUCGGAUUCAUUGGGCGUAAAGGGCGCGUAGGCGGCCUUCUAAGUCGAACGUGAAAUCCCUGGGCUCAACCCAGGAACUGCGUCCGAGACUGGAAGGCUUGAAUCCGGGAGAGGGAUGUGGAAUUCCAGGUGUAGCGGUGAAAUGCGUAGAUAUCUGGAGGAACACCGGUGGCGAAGGCGGCAUCCUGGACCGGUAUUGACGCUGAGGCGCGAAAGCCAGGGGAGCAAACGGG
Molecule: ribosomal RNA, 253 nt
Filed under: uncultured bacterium
Lineage: Bacteria
Description: partial 16S ribosomal RNA
Rfam family: Bacterial small subunit ribosomal RNA
Source: RNAcentral